UCAGAUUGAACGCUGGCGGCAGGCCUAACACAUGCAAGUCGAGCGGUAACAGAAAGUAGCUUGCUACUUUGCUGACGAGCGGCGGACGGGUGAGUAAUGCUUGGGAACAUGCCUUGAGGUGGGGGACAACAGUUGGAAACGACUGCUAAUACCGCAUAAUGUCUACGGACCAAAGGGGGCUUCGGCUCUCGCCUUUAGAUUGGCCCAAGUGGGAUUAGCUAGUUGGUGAGGUAAUGGCUCACCAAGGCGACGAUCCCUAGCUGGUUUGAGAGGAUGAUCAGCCACACUGGGACUGAGACACGGCCCAGACUCCUACGGGAGGCAGCAGUGGGGAAUAUUGCACAAUGGGCGCAAGCCUGAUGCAGCCAUGCCGCGUGUGUGAAGAAGGCCUUCGGGUUGUAAAGCACUUUCAGUCAGGAGGAAAGGUUAGUAGUUAAUACCUGUUAGCUGUGACGUUACUGACAGAAGAAGCACCGGCUAACUCCGUGCCAGCAGCCGCGGUAAUACGGAGGGUGCGAGCGUUAAUCGGAAUUACUGGGCGUAAAGCGUACGCAGGCGGUUUGUUAAGCGAGAUGUGAAAGCCCCGGGCUCAACCUGGGAACUGCAUUUCGAACUGGCAAACUAGAGUGUGAUAGAGGGUGGUAGAAUUUCAGGUGUAGCGGUGAAAUGCGUAGAGAUCUGAAGGAAUACCGAUGGCGAAGGCAGCCACCUGGGUCAACACUGACGCUCAUGUACGAAAGCGUGGGGAGCAAACGGGAUUAGAUACCCCGGUAGUCCACGCCGUAAACGAUGUCUACUAGAAGCUCGGAGCCUCGGUUCUGUUUUUCAAAGCUAACGCAUUA
RNAcentral lists this ribosomal RNA (842 nucleotides) under uncultured Pseudoalteromonas sp. Its description in RNAcentral is "bacterial SSU rRNA". It matches the Rfam family "Bacterial small subunit ribosomal RNA", at positions 24 to 862 of the family's 1533-position model. Lineage: Bacteria; Pseudomonadati; Pseudomonadota; Gammaproteobacteria; Alteromonadales; Pseudoalteromonadaceae. The record is from RNAcentral.